AGUCGAGCGGACGUAGCAAUACGUCAGCGGCAGACGGCUGAGUAACGCGCCCCCUUGUACCUUUUGGUUCGCAACCACACAGGGAAACUUGUGCUACUACCGGAUAAGCCCUUACGGGGAAAGAUUUAUCGCCGAAAGAUCGGCCCGCGUCUGAUUAGCUAGUUGGUGAGGUAAUGGCUCACCAAGGCGACGAUCAGUAGCUGGUCUGAGAGGAUGAUCAGCCACAUUGGGACUGAAACACGGCCCAAACUCCUACGGGAGGCAGCAGUGGGGAAUAUUGGACAAUGGGGGCAACCCUGAUCCAGCCAUGCCGCGUGACUGAUGAAGGCCCUAGGGUUGUAAAGCUCUUUUGUGCGGGAAGAUAAUGACGGUACCGCCAGAAUAAGCCCCGGCUAACUUCGUGCCCCCAGCCGCGGUAAUACGAAGGGGGCUAGCGUUGCUCGGAAUCACUGGGCGUAAAGGGUGCGGAAGCGGGUCUUUAAGCAAGGGUGAAAUCCUGGAGCUCAACUCCAGAACUGCCUUUGAUACUGAAGAUCCUGAGUCCCGGAGAGGUGAGUGGAACUGCGCCCGGAAAGGUGAAAUUCGUAUAUAUUCGGCAGAACACCACUGGCGAAAGAGGCUCACUGGGCCGGUACUGGCCCUGAGGCACGAAACCGUGGGGAGCAAAGAGGAUUUAAUUCCCGGGUAGUCCCCCCCGUAAACCAUAAAUGGCAGCCGUUAGUGGGUUUACUCCCUAGAGGGGCAGCUAACGCUUUAAGAAUUCCGCCCGGGGAGUACGGUCGCAAAAUUAAAACUCAAAGGAAUUGACGGGGGCCCCCCCAACCGGUGGAUCAUGGGGUUUAAUUCGACCCAACCCCCAGAACCUUACCAGCGCUUGACAUGUGCAAGACCGGUCCCAGA
RNAcentral lists this ribosomal RNA (900 nucleotides) under Bradyrhizobium sp. Its description in RNAcentral is "bacterial SSU rRNA". It matches the Rfam family "Bacterial small subunit ribosomal RNA", at positions 60 to 1006 of the family's 1533-position model. Lineage: Bacteria; Pseudomonadati; Pseudomonadota; Alphaproteobacteria; Hyphomicrobiales; Nitrobacteraceae. The record is from RNAcentral.